Molecule: ribosomal RNA, 465 nt
Filed under: uncultured bacterium
Lineage: Bacteria
Description: bacterial SSU rRNA
Rfam family: Bacterial small subunit ribosomal RNA
Source: RNAcentral
CCUACGGGUCGCACCAGUGGGGAAUAUUGCACAAUGGGCGCAAGCCUGAUGCAGCCAUGCCGCGUGCAUGAAGAAGGCCUUAGGGCUGUAAAGUACUUUCAGUUGGGAGGAAGGCGUUGAUGCUAAUAUCAACAGCGAUUGACGUUACCAACAGAAGAAGCACCGGCUAACUCCGUGCCAGCAGCCGCGAUAAUACGGAGGGUGCAAGCGUUAAUCGGAAUUACUGGGCGUAAAGCGCACGCAGGCGGUUGAUUAAGUUAGAUGUGAAAUCCCCGGGCUUAACCUGGGAAUGGCAUCUAAGACUGGUCAGCUAGAGUCUUGUAGAGGGGGGUAGAAUUCCAUGUGUAGCGGUGAAAUGCGUAGAGAUGUGGAGGAAUACCGGUGGCGAAGGCAGUCCCCUGGACAAAGACUGACGCUCAGGUGCGAAAGCGUGGGGAGCAAACAGGAUUAGAUACCCCAGUAGUC